RNAcentral lists this ribosomal RNA (400 nucleotides) under uncultured bacterium. RNAcentral's name for it is "bacterial SSU rRNA". It matches the Rfam family "Bacterial small subunit ribosomal RNA", at positions 356 to 773 of the family's 1533-position model. The record is from RNAcentral.
GGGGAAUCUUAGACAAUGGGGGAAACCCUGAUCUAGCCAUGCCGCGUGAUCGAUGAAGGCCUUAGGGUCGUAAAGAUCUUUCAGUGGGGAAGAUAAUGACUGUACCCACAGAAGAAGCCCCGGCUAACUCCGUGCCAGCAGCCGCGGUAAUACGGAGGGGGCUAGCGUUGUUCGGAAUUACUGGGCGUAAAGCGCACGUAGGCGGAUCAGAAAGUCAGAGGUGAAAUCCCAGGGCUCAACCUUGGAACUGCCUUUGAAACUCCUGAUCUUGAGGUCGAGAGAGGUGAGUGGAAUUCCGAGUGUAGAGGUGAAAUCCGUAGAUAUUCGGAGGAACACCAGUGGCGAAGGCGGCUCACUGGCUCGAGACUGACGCUGAGGUGCGAAAGCGUGGGGAGCAAAC